This 253-nucleotide ribosomal RNA is filed under the name uncultured bacterium. RNAcentral describes it as "partial 16S ribosomal RNA". It matches the Rfam family "Bacterial small subunit ribosomal RNA", at positions 524 to 776 of the family's 1533-position model. The record is from RNAcentral.
UACGUAGGGGGCUAGCGUUGUCCGGAAUCAUUGGGCGUAAAGCGCGUGUAGGCGGCUUGAUAAGUCUGCUCUGAAAGCCCGGGGCUCAACCCUGGGAGGCGGGUGGAUACUGUCGAGCUCGAGUCCGGAAGAGGCGAGUGGAAUUCCUGGUGUAGCGGUGAAAUGCGCAGAUAUCAGGAGGAACACCAAUGGCGAAGGCAGCUCGCUGGGACGGUACUGACGCUGAGACGCGAAAGCGUGGGGAGCAAACAGG